GACGUGUGCUUUUGGUUUCUCUAAAAGGCUUCAUACCAAUAGAGAUGUAUUCCUUACUUAUAAACCCAUGAUCAACCUUUAAUUAGUCAAGGUGGGACCCCUCUCCCGACGAUCCUCAAUAACUGCUUCCUCCCUCCAUCAUUUCGCCGUCUCCCGUCCCCUUCAAGUGAUGUGCAGACAUGUGUAGCUGCAAUAUUUUGCGUUUAGCAUUGUUAUAAUUUCUGCUGCCACCGUGAGAGCAUCAAAAUGAGCGAUAAAUUGAAGCCAGAAUUUCUCCAUCGAAAUAUUACAUUUUCCAUGUGGCCAAACCCCAGAAUGUUUGAGGAGAGCCUAUCAUCCUACAACCUUGGCAGGGAGCUGCUUCAUAUUCCCCAUGGAAUAACCUGGAAAAUUUCUCCCUAAUAUCCCCACGCGAGAUGGUUUGUUAUCUCUAUUCUUGUUCGAGGAUGCCUAAAAUGAUGAAUAUGGAGGGGACAAGAAGUUUGAUGUUCAUGGAAAAUGGAGAAGAAACUGUUAUUUUCAGAUGGGAUGAUGUCAAACUUGAAAUGAUGAAAAAGUUUGGUUCACAAAAUGCCAUGAAUUCUGUUAGGGUUCGUAGAUUCGUGCAGUUGUAUUCAUUGAUCUACGAUAAACUAAUUUGGUUAUCCUAUUCACAGCGACCUCAUUUCUACACAAGUUGUAUCACUGGAUUUGUUCAGUCGAGUUGUCAAAGGGUGAUUUGUUUUGUCGGGUUGUCAAAGGGUGAUUUAUGCUAACAUGACCGGAACUGGAGUCUCAGAUUUUGCAGUUUCAUGGCUGCAUAUUCAGUCAAGCACAUGAGACUGAGUCGACUAUACUUGAGCUCGAGAAAGAUUAUUUAUUACUGACUGUGUUGCUUCAACUUCAUUUGUCACUCAUGACGUGUAGUAUAUAGCAAGACUACCAAGUCAAGUCUCAACAAGGAAGAUUUUGAGCUCCAACCACA
Cucurbita moschata (crookneck pumpkin) is the source of this 964-nucleotide long non-coding RNA. RefSeq lists it as uncharacterized. The record is from RefSeq and is a predicted model, not a curated record. The transcript is spliced from 5 exons. Lineage: Eukaryota; Viridiplantae; Streptophyta; Magnoliopsida; Cucurbitales; Cucurbitaceae.